RNAcentral lists this ribosomal RNA (253 nucleotides) under uncultured bacterium. Its description in RNAcentral is "partial 16S ribosomal RNA". It matches the Rfam family "Bacterial small subunit ribosomal RNA", at positions 524 to 776 of the family's 1533-position model. The record is from RNAcentral.
UACGUAGGGGGCAAGCGUUGUCCGGAAUCAUUGGGCGUAAAGAGCGUGUAGGCGGCUCGGUAAGUCCGCUCUGAAAGCCCGGGGCUCAACCCCGGGAGGCGGGCGGAUACUGUCGGGCUAGAGUCCGGAAGAGGCGAGUGGAAUUCCUGGUGUAGCGGUGAAAUGCGCAGAUAUCAGGAGGAACACCAAUGGCGAAGGCAGCUCGCUGGGACGGUACUGACGCUGAGACGCGAAAGCGUGGGGAGCAAACGGG